Molecule: long non-coding RNA, 485 nt
Organism: Peromyscus leucopus (white-footed mouse)
Lineage: Eukaryota; Metazoa; Chordata; Mammalia; Rodentia; Cricetidae
Exons: 2
Source: RefSeq, a predicted model, not a curated record
UCCACGUUCUACGAAUUCAGUUGACUUCAACAGUCCUGCCACAGAGAAGUGGCCUUCGUAAAAGAAAAAAAAAAGAAUCCACACAGCUGACAUGUGGUGGGGAUUUAAACCCAGGGUUCAUCAGAGACUGAUUUUUCAGAAGAGAGAGAGAAGUCCCUUUAUGUCUGUAAGAGAACUUUUCAGUGAAAAAUGUCACAGAGAGAAAUCACCUGAAGAUUUCAAUAGCCAAACAAAAUCAUAGACUUUUACACACAUAUUUGACUAUCUAAACCCAUGUUGCUUUUUGUAGUGUUCGGAUUGGUAGAUAAAAAGAUGAAUGUGCGUUGCAAUUUGUUGGGACCUUUUGAUCUGUAGAAGUCACGAUCUUUACUGGCCUCAGCAGGAUGUACACAGGGUGCCCGAGAUAUUUGAUUCAAUAAGCGCUUGUCUUACUGUACUUGAGUACAGUGGUUCCCAACUUUUCAGGAAUAAAUGCCUUAAGCAGA